RNAcentral lists this ribosomal RNA (786 nucleotides) under uncultured bacterium. Its description in RNAcentral is "bacterial SSU rRNA". It matches the Rfam family "Bacterial small subunit ribosomal RNA", at positions 56 to 872 of the family's 1533-position model. The record is from RNAcentral.
UGCAAGUCGAGCGAUCUCUUCGGAGAGAGCGGCGGACGGGUGAGUAACGCGUGGGUAACCUGCCCUGUACACACGGAUAACAUACCGAAAGGUAUACUAAUACGGGAUAACAUACGAAAGUCGCAUGGCUUUUGUAUCAAAGCUCCGGCGGUACAGGAUGGACCCGCGUCUGAUUAGCUACCUGGUAAGGUAAUGGCUUACCAAGGCAACGAUCAGUAGCCGACCUGAGAGGGUGAUCGGCCACACUGGAACUGAGACACGGUCCAGACUCCUACGGGAGGCAGCAGUGGGGAAUAUUGCACAAUGGGCGAAAGCCUGAUGCAGGAACGCCGCGUGAGCGAUGAAGGCCUUCGGGUCGUAAAGCUCUGUCCUCAAGGAAGAUAAUGACGGUACUUGAGGAGGAAGCCCCGGCUAACUACGUGCCAGCAGCCGCGGUAAUACGUAGGGGGCUAGCGUUAUCCGGAAUUACUGGGCGUAAAGGGUGCGUAGGUGGUUUUUUAAGUCAGAAGUGAAAGGCUACGGCUCAACCGUAGUAAGCUUUUGAAACUAGAGAACUUGAGUGCAGGAGAGGAGAGUAGAAUUCCUAGUGUAGCGGUGAAAUGCGUAGAUAUUAGGAGGAAUACCAGUAGCGAAGGCGGCUCUCUGGACUGUAACUGACACUGAGGCACGAAAGCGUGGGGAGCAAACAGGAUUAGAUACCCUGGUAGUCCACGCCGUAAACGAUGAGUACUAGGUGUCGGGGGUUACCCCCCUCGGUGCCGCAGCUAACGCAUUAAGUACUCCCGC